GUUUUCAGCAAACCUUUAAUAUGCCUUCCCAAUGCUCUGUCAGGUACUGCAAACAAUGAGAACAGUGACGAUGAGGGUGGAACAAAUGAAUGGUUAAAAUUGUUUAGGGAUUUGGUAGUUAGACCCCUGGACAGCACAAUGGCGUUUUCUUGGUAUUGUGUGCCUGCCAGCUGCUCAUCAUAACUCAUUCAAAUUAAAUCAGGAUUCAUUUAUACUGGAUGUUGUUCAGGGAAUAACCCUGACACUGUCUUUUUUAUAUUUUAUUUUCCAGUUUAAAUUUAGAUAAGAAACAAGGUUGCUUCCGUUGGCCUUUCCUGGGAAGUCAUUAGGGAUGCAGGUCCACAAGACAAACAUCAUCAUAGUGAACAAGAAAGUCUAUGGUGCCAAGGCUCACAGUAACCCAUAUUUAUCAAUCCCUCUAGGUUAACAUUUGAAAGUCACUACUGGAGUUUACUAGUCAAAUAAAUAGGCAGUCCACAAAAAAUUGUUUAGGGAUGCAAACAUGUAAACAAAAUAAAAAUUUGUCAUUAUCUCCCCCAUGGCAUUGAUUAGUAAUUGUCUCCAAUUAUCAUGAUUGAGGCGUUGGGCUUUCAGAAGCUGUGCGUUGCAAUUCUGCUGGCACUAACUUACAACUAUUAGCGUGCCAAACUUUUCCUUGACUAAGACAAUUGACUGUGCUUGAUCCCUUACAGGAAUCUAAUGCCGGCUGAACAUUUGUCUGAAGGUUUCAGAGACAUACCUGCUGGAUGGUCUUUAUCAGACUGUGAUCAAGAAUGCCAAUUUGGUGCCCCAGUCAUUUCACCUUCAGUUAUCCAGGAUGCAGUCUUGGUGCCACAAUCAUUUCACAUUCAGGAGCCUAAUGCCGGCAGACCAUUUGUCUGAAGCUCGCCAAGAUCUUCCUGCUAGAUGGUAUUUGUCGUCUUGCUUUUCAGUUAUCCAGGAUGCAGACCAUAUGCCUCAAGUCAUUUCCCCUUCAGGUAAGUGGAAACAUCAGGUAAAGUGCCUUGUAUCUUUUUUAUCCUUGCCUUCGAACAUUAGACAGCAUGAAAUUCUAGGAAACCAGUGACAGUUAAGGCAAUGAACUUGUUCUCUUCCUUCCUUUUGGAAAUUCCCUAGGACUAAGUCCAUGAGAAAACACUGUUGAUCAAAACUGCCUUGUUUUGUAGAAUUCCAAGUAGUAGAUAGUGGGAACAGAGGAGUGACUGUUCAGGCAGGUGGGACACCAGGAUUGGAUCCGUACAUUCAGGCCCUGUCCCUUGCACAGCUCAGUGAUAGCUGAAUGUGAUCCUGAAAUACCUGCCUUGCCGUAUCUUUCUACCUACCUUGCUGAUUGUCACUGCCGAGAAAGAGCUUCAUGUACUCACUGUGUCAGGAGGGUGUCAUGCUCCAAACUUGCAAAUUCGGUACUUAAGAAUGUCCAGCAUACAAUCCCUCAACUGCAGGGAUAUCAUUUGAUUAAUUCUCUGGGUCGCAUAAGGCAGACAGUGUUCUAGUGCACUAAUGAACAUAUCAGUUAGGCAAAUUCAGAUACCGUUUCCUUUCAUUAACUUUAGAGAACUUGCCCUGCCUUGCAGGCAUAAGGCCAAAUGAGGCAAUUAGGCAGGGUUCAUCUGGCAAGGCAUUCUGUUCUUUGCCUAGAUUUAUAGACUCAUCAUGAUGUGGAGACCCACUCACCACACAAAAUUGGCAUGAAAUUUCAUUCACAUGAAUGACAUCCCAUGCUUCAAAGGCUUCCUUUGCGCAUGUGAAAAGGAAUGUGUCAAGAGAAUGUGGGUAGGCAUCCUAGGCAGGCUGUGCUUGCACAAUUAUGAUGUUUGAUUGUAAACAUCUUACUAUACUGAUUAGUUAGUAAUUUCAGAGGGAAAUGGGAUAGCGCUGUGCACAGAACUGCAUAUUACAGGCUGGAACUUUUAUCCCAACCUUAAAAUAAUACAAAACAAACAUUGACAAGUAUAAAAUAUCCAGCAAAGUCAACAGAAGGAAAUUUGGGCUUGGAAUACACACAUCUACUUCCUGCUGAAAUUGGAUGAUGACAAUCUCAUUGCGACCUGUUGGAAGAAAAAUGUUAGUGUAACAAGAAUCUUAAGUAGGUUAGACAGUCUCAGUUUGGCACGAGAUGGUUGACGGAAUUUCUGGAAUGGAGUUUUAUUGUUGAUUGAAGAUCUUGCCCGAAGGUCUGGACAGAUUGUAGGAGGUGCACUGUAUCAGUUCCUUGUUCUCGUGUUGUGCCGAUUGAUGCAGUUCCAAUACAGUUUCAGGGUGGAUGUUGUCAGGUGGAGUUGAUGAAGUGGGGCAGUUCAGAUGCAUCAAGUCAAAUCAGGUGGAGUCCAAAAAGUGGAGCCUCAUCCUCUUGCAGAGCAGUUGAAGAUUGGUGUUAGGAAGUUCCUUGUUCUCUGGAAAACUCAAAUAUUUAUGUUUACUAAGGAAUUUUCAACUAUUAUAUGUAUGAUUACUUUGAAAGGCAACAAUAAGAAUAUAGUAAACAUGAAGAAGAUUAGACUUUCUGAAAAGGAACAGAGUACACACAAAUGAGAGACCCUAAUUUUGUUUUCUUCUGUCUUAUAUCACUAUAAUAUUGAUUUAAUACAGAAACUCUGAAUUUUAUUUUAACAAUAAGCUUGCAUUAAGAUUAGGAAACCCAAUCCAACUCCAAAGCCAGCUUCAGGUAAAUGAAUGGGGACUAAAGCAUAUUAAGAAACAAAAAUAAAUGGAUAUUAUGAAAAACAAUUUAAAGAGACUUAGACUUUGAUUCCACACAGUGAAUUAUUAUUUGUUUGAUGAUUCUCCGAAUAGCUAUCAAUUCUUCUUCAGGUAUCCAUAUGUCCAGUAUUUCUUUUGCUGUUUGGAUAUAUGUUUUCCUGUGAAGACAAUAAACAAAACAUUUCUCAUUCUUUUUUUGAGGUCUCCUUUAACCAUAGUAGAAUAUGACCAUGUAGAGAACAUCUCCUGUGGUUUCUUCUUUUUGGAUCGAGUCUUAAUUAUUAUGAUGGAAACCAAAAUUUUUCUUCUCCUGUGGAAACAAAGCCAAAACAUCUUCCACAACGUAAUGCAUAUCUUGGUUUCCAGACUGAUGUCAUAACAACUUUGAAAUACUCUGGAUGGUGCAGUUCAGAAAUUUUCUCUCAAGUCCCGUGUCAUCCUGCAGCAGUUUUUCCUUUUCAUUAGCAUUAACAAUCUUCAAUGUUAAUAAAACAUUAUGUAAUCUGUGUUGGGGUCUUUGUAAAACCUGGAUGCUUUUAGACACAUUUUUUUAAGGUUCAGUUAGAUCUUUCAACAACUGCUUGUCCUUUGGGAUUGUGAGUUUCACCAGAUACAUGUUUUAUAUUAUAAUAUUUGGAAAACGGUUCCAAUUUGCUGGAGAGGUUUGUUGGAGCAUUGUCAGCUUUUAUUUGUGCAUUUAUACACAUUACAGCCAUAAAGUCUAAGAGUUGUGUGAUAACAGAAUCAGCCUUUUCAGAGCUGGAGGCAGUAAUACAUUGUUAAUCUCAGAACGUGUCUAUGGUGUGGUGUAAAUAUUUCAAUCUGACAAAUUCUUAAAAGUGAAAAAUUCCGUCUGCCAAAUUUCAUUUCUGCAAAUAACUUUGGGAUUACUGCUUGCUGAUAAUGGACUUUGAUUGUAGAAUAAACAGGUGGGGCAGUUUCUUACAUUUUGGACUUGUUACCAAAGGGUUGAAAAAUCCUUCUUUAAAACUUUGCUGUUAACAUAGUGUUUCUUAUGAAAGUCUGAAGCUUCCCACACAUUUUCUAUUAAUAAAGGAUCAAUCUUAUCUUUGCCUUAUACUAGAGGACCUGGCUCAACCAUAUGGGAUCUGAUGUGUCUUAUACAUAUAUUAGAUGAGUUCUAUUUCUGAUGGUUUUCUGUAAUUUUAAAAUCAAUGAGGUUAAUUCUGGACCAUCAUGAAUGAACUCUGCAGUCUCAAUGAGGAAGACAACUCUCUCUGCAUACUGAGAGUCUGUUACUAUUUUGAGAGGCAUUGUUUUUUUUUGUUUUUUUUUUUUUGGUUUUUCGA
Molecule: long non-coding RNA, 4010 nt
Organism: Mesocricetus auratus (golden hamster)
Lineage: Eukaryota; Metazoa; Chordata; Mammalia; Rodentia; Cricetidae
Exons: 5
Source: RefSeq, a predicted model, not a curated record